UUACGGCCAUAUCACAUUGAAAUAGCAGUUCCCGUACGAUCACCGAAGCUCAGCAACGUCGAGCCUGGUCAAUAUCUAGCUGGGUGACCACUUAGGAAUACCAGGUGC
This 108-nucleotide ribosomal RNA is filed under the name Acanthosepion pharaonis. Lineage: Eukaryota; Metazoa; Mollusca; Cephalopoda; Sepiida; Sepiidae. The record is from RNAcentral.